AUUGAACGCUGGCGGCAUGCCUAACACAUGCAAGUCGAGCGGAUGAAGGGAGCUUGCUCCUGUAUUCAGCGGCGGACGGGUGAGUAAUUCCUAGGAAUCUGCCUGGUAGUGGGGGAUAACGUCCGUAAACGGGCGCUAAUACCGCAUACGUCCUGAUGGAGAAAGGGAUGGAUCUUCGGACCUCACGCUAUCUGAUGAGCCUAGGUCGGAUUAGCUAGUUGGUGGGGUAAAGGCCUACCAAGGCGACGAUCCGUAACUGGUCUGAGAGGAUGAUCAGCCACACUGGAACUGAGACACGGUCCAGACUCCUACGGGAGGCAGCAGUGGGGAAUAUUGGACAAUGGGCGAAAGCCUGAUCCAGCCAUGCCGCGUGUGUGAAGAAGGUCUUCGGAUUGUAAAGCACUUUAAGUUGGGAGGAAGGGAAGUAAGUUAAUACAUUGCUGUUUUGACGUUACCAACAGAAUAAGCAACGGCUAACUUCGUG
RNAcentral lists this ribosomal RNA (484 nucleotides) under uncultured bacterium. RNAcentral describes it as "partial 16S ribosomal RNA". It matches the Rfam family "Bacterial small subunit ribosomal RNA", at positions 30 to 507 of the family's 1533-position model. The record is from RNAcentral.